Molecule: ribosomal RNA, 2917 nt
Filed under: Enterococcus faecium
Lineage: Bacteria; Bacillati; Bacillota; Bacilli; Lactobacillales; Enterococcaceae
Description: bacterial LSU rRNA
Rfam family: Bacterial large subunit ribosomal RNA
Source: RNAcentral
AGGUUAAGUGAAUAAGGGCGCACGGUGGAUGCCUUGGCACUAGGAGCCGAUGAAGGACGGGACUAACACCGAUAUGCUUUGGGGAGCUGUACGUAAGCUAUGAUCCAGAGAUUUCCGAAUGGGGGAACCCAACAUCUUUAAUAGGAUGUUACGAUUGUGUGAAUACAUAGCACAUUCGAGGUAGACGCAGAGAACUGAAACAUCUAAGUACCUGCAGGAAGAGAAAGAAAAUUCGAUUCCCUGAGUAGCGGCGAGCGAAACGGGAAAAGCCCAAACCAGCAAGCUUGCUUGUUGGGGUUGUAGGACUCCAAUAUGGUAGUUCUUUCAGAUAGUCGAAUGACUUGGAAAAGUCAGUCAAAGAGGGUAAAAACCCCGUAGACGAAAUGUGGAAGACACCUAGGAGGAUCCUGAGUACGGCGGAACACGAGAAAUUCCGUCGGAAUCCGGGAGGACCAUCUCCCAAGGCUAAAUACUCCCUAGUGACCGAUAGUGAACCAGUACCGUGAGGGAAAGGUGAAAAGCACCCCGGAAGGGGAGUGAAAUAGAACCUGAAACCGUGUGCCUACAACAAGUCAAAGCCCGUUAAUGGGUGAUGGCGUGCCUUUUGUAGAAUGAACCGGCGAGUUACGAUUGCAUGCGAGGUUAAGUUGAAGAGACGGAGCCGCAGCGAAAGCGAGUCUGAAUAGGGCGUUUGAGUAUGUAGUCGUAGACCCGAAACCAUGUGAUCUACCCAUGUCCAGGUUGAAGGUGCGGUAAAACGCACUGGAGGACCGAACCCACGUACGUUGAAAAGUGCGGGGAUGAGGUGUGGGUAGCGGAGAAAUUCCAAACGAACUUGGAGAUAGCUGGUUCUCUCCGAAAUAGCUUUAGGGCUAGCCUCGGAAUUGAGAAUGAUGGAGGUAGAGCACUGUUUGGACUAGGGGCCCAUCUCGGGUUACCGAAUUCAGAUAAACUCCGAAUGCCAUUCAUUCAUAUCCGGGAGUCAGACUGUGAGUGAUAAGAUCCAUAGUCGAAAGGGAAACAGCCCAGACCACCAGCUAAGGUCCCAAAAUAUAUGUUAAGUGGAAAAGGAUGUGGGGUUGCACAGACAACUAGGAUGUUGGCUUAGAAGCAGCCAUCAUUUAAAGAGUGCGUAAUAGCUCACUAGUCGAGUGACCCUGCGCCGAAAAUGUACCGGGGCUAAACAUAUUACCGAAGCUGUGGAGUACACCUUUAGGUGUAUUGGUAGGAGAGCGUUCUAAGGGCGUUGAAGGCAGAUCGUGAGGACUGCUGGAGCGCUUAGAAGUGAGAAUGCCGGUAUGAGUAGCGAAAGACAGGUGAGAAUCCUGUCCACCGAAUGACUAAGGUUUCCUGGGGAAGGCUCGUCCGCCCAGGGUUAGUCGGGACCUAAGCCGAGGCCGACAGGCGUAGGCGAUGGAUAACAGGUUGAUAUUCCUGUACCCGUUGUUUUUGUUUGAGCAAUGGAGGGACGCAGGAGGCUAAGGAAUGCAGACGAUCGGAAAUGUCUGUCCAAGCAGUAAGUCUGAAGAGGAGUCAAAUGCUUCUUUUCUUAAGGACAAGCUGUGAUGGGGAGGGAAAUAAUAGUACCGAAGUUCCUGAUGUCACACUGCCGAGAAAAGCUUCUAGUGAGAAAACAGCGGCCCGUACCGCAAACCGACACAGGUAGUCGAGGAGAGAAUCCUAAGGUGAGCGAGAGAACUCUCGUUAAGGAACUCGGCAAAAUGACCCCGUAACUUCGGGAGAAGGGGUGCUGAUCAUACGAUCAGCCGCAGUGAAUAGGCCCAAGCGACUGUUUAUCAAAAACACAGGUCUCUGCAAAAUCGUAAGAUGAAGUAUAGGGGCUGACGCCUGCCCGGUGCUGGAAGGUUAAGAGGAGUGCUUAGCGCAAGCGAAGGUACGAAUUGAAGCCCCAGUAAACGGCGGCCGUAACUAUAACGGUCCUAAGGUAGCGAAAUUCCUUGUCGGGUAAGUUCCGACCCGCACGAAAGGCGUAACGAUUUGGGCACUGUCUCAACGAGAGACUCGGUGAAAUUUUAGUACCUGUGAAGAUGCAGGUUACCCGCGACAGGACGGAAAGACCCCAUGGAGCUUUACUGUAGUUUGAUAUUGAGUGUCUGUACCGCAUGUACAGGAUAGGUAGGAGCCGUAGAAAUCGGAACGCUAGUUUCGAUGGAGGCGCUGGUGGGAUACUACCCCUGCGUUAUGGCCACUCUAACCCGCACCACUAAUCGUGGUGGGAGACAGUGUCAGAUGGGCAGUUUGACUGGGGCGGUCGCCUCCUAAAAGGUAACGGAGGCGCCCAAAGGUUCCCUCAGAAUGGUUGGAAAUCAUUCGAAGAGUGUAAAGGCAGAAGGGAGCUUGACUGCGAGACCAACAAGUCGAGCAGGGACGAAAGUCGGGCUUAGUGAUCCGGUGGUUCCGCAUGGAAGGGCCAUCGCUCAACGGAUAAAAGCUACCCUGGGGAUAACAGGCUUAUCUCCCCCAAGAGUCCACAUCGACGGGGAGGUUUGGCACCUCGAUGUCGGCUCGUCGCAUCCUGGGGCUGUAGUCGGUCCCAAGGGUUGGGCUGUUCGCCCAUUAAAGCGGCACGCGAGCUGGGUUCAGAACGUCGUGAGACAGUUCGGUCCCUAUCCGUCGCGGGCGUUGGAAAUUUGAGAGGAGCUGUCCUUAGUACGAGAGGACCGGGAUGGACUUACCGCUGGUGUACCAGUUGUUCUGCCAAGGGCAUUGCUGGGUAGCUAUGUAGGGAAGGGAUAAACGCUGAAAGCAUCUAAGUGUGAAGCCCACCUCAAGAUGAGAUUUCCCAUUUCUUUAAGAAAGUAAGAUCCCUGAGAGAUGAUCAGGUAGAUAGGUCAGGAGUGGAAGUACAGUGAUGUAUGGAGCGGACUGAUACUAAUCGAUCGAGGACUUAACCAAU